RNAcentral lists this unclassified non-coding RNA (250 nucleotides) under uncultured fungus. RNAcentral describes it as "sequence contains ITS1". The stretch from base 1 to 101 matches the Rfam family "5.8S ribosomal RNA", at positions 50 to 154 of the family's 154-position model. The record is from RNAcentral. Lineage: Eukaryota; Fungi.
GAAAUGCGAUACGUAAUGUGAAUUGCAGAACUCAGUGAAUCAUCAAAUCUUUGAACGCAAAUUGCACUAAUAGUAAUAUUAGUACAUUUAUUUGAGUGUCGUUUAAUAAUCUAAUCAUUAUUAUAAUGAAUGUCUAUUUUUAGUCAUUUUAACAUCAUAUAAUCCAAUAAUUGUAAAAUCAUUUAUCAUAAUUGGAAAAUAUAAUAUCACAUUCGACCUCAAAUUAAAUGAGAUUACCCGCUGAAUUUAA